UACCAAAAAACAAAACAAACCAUUUAAUCUAAUAGUAUAGGCGAUAGAAAUUUAUUAUGCGCAAUAAAAAAGUACCGCAGGGGAAAGAUGAAAUAAAAAUGAAAUAAAUAAUAAAACAAAGAAAAGAAAAGACUAAACCCUAUACCUUUUGCAUAAUGGUCUAGUAAGUCCAACCUAACAAAAAGAAAUAAAGUUAGCCACCCCGAAACUAGACGAGCUACUCAAAAGCAGCAUUAACCAGGGCCAACCCGUCUCUGUGGCAAAAGAGUGGGACGACUUUUAAGUAGAGGUGAAAAGCCUAACGAGCCUAGUGAUAGCUGGUUGCUUGAGAAAUGAAUAUUAGUUCAGCUUAAAGUACUUUCAACUAAUGAGAAAGUAAAAAUAACACUUUAAAGUUAAUUAAUAGGGGUACAGCCCUAUUAAUAAAGGACACAACCUACACAAUGAAUAAAGAUUAUAUUAACAAAAGAAAUUAACCAUGUAGGCCUAAAAGCAGCCACCACAAGAAAGCGUCAAAGCUCAACCAACCAACCCCCUUAUUAUACUAAUAAAAAAAUCUAAAUUCACAAAUAUAUCAAGCCUAUCUACUAGUAGAUGAGUUUAUACUAGAAUGAGUAACAAGAACAAAUUCUCUAUAUGCAAGCGUAAAUCAGGGCGAAAAAAUCACUGAUAAUUAACAACUUCAAAUACUAAACAACAAGAAAAGCACAUUAAAGUAAUUGUUAACCCGACACAGGAGCAUCAAAAAAGAUUUAAAGAUUAAAAAGGAACUCGGCAACCAAGAGCUCCGCCUGUUUACCAAAAACAUCGCCUCUUGCCCUCCAAGUAUAAGAGGUCCCGCCUGCCCAGUGAUUAAUUUUAACGGCCGCGGUAUCAUGACCGUGCAAAGGUAGCGUAAUCACUUGUCUUUUAAAUAAAGACCUGUAUGAAAGGCAAAACGAAAGCUCAACUGUCUCUUUAAUCCAAUCAGU
This 971-nucleotide ribosomal RNA is filed under the name Paramesotriton guanxiensis (Guangxi warty newt). RNAcentral describes it as "partial 16S ribosomal RNA". The stretch from base 130 to 971 matches the Rfam family "Bacterial large subunit ribosomal RNA", at positions 573 to 2037 of the family's 2925-position model. The record is from RNAcentral. Lineage: Eukaryota; Metazoa; Chordata; Amphibia; Caudata; Salamandridae.